GGCAAGUCGAGCGGAUGUAAGGGAGCUUGCUCCUGGAUUCAGCGGCGGACGGGUGAGUAUUGUUUAGGAAUCUGCCUGGUAGUGGGGGAUAACGUCCGGAAACGGGCGCUAAUACCGCAUACGUCCUGAGGGAGAAAGUGGGGGAUCUUCGGACCUCACGCUAUCAGAUGAGCCUAGGUCGGAUUAGCUAGUUGGUGGGGUAAAGGCCUACCAAGGCGACGAUCCGUAACUGGUCUGAGAGGAUGAUCAGUCACACUGGAACUGAGACACGGUCCAGACUCCUACGGGAGGCAGCAGUGGGGAAUAUUGGACAAUGGGCGAAAGCCUGAUCCAGCCAUGCCGCGUGUGUGAAGAAGGUCUUCGGAUUGUAAAGCACUUUAAGUUGGGAGGAAGGGCAGUAAGUUAAUACCUUGCUGUUUUGACGUUACCAACAGAAUAAGCACCGGCUAACUUCGUGCCAGCAGCCGCGGUAAUACGAAGGGUGCAAGCGUUAAUCGGAAUUACUGGGCGUAAAGCGCGCGUAGGUGGUUCAGCAAGUUGGAUGUGAAAUCCCCGGGCUCAACCUGGGAACUGCAUCCAAAACUACUGAGCUAGAGUACGGUAGAGGGUGGUGGAAUUUCCUGUGUAGCGGUGAAAUGCGUAGAUAUAGGAAGGAACACCAGUGGCGAAGGCGACCACCUGGACUGAUACUGACACUGANGUGCGAAAGCGUGGGGAGCAAACAGGAUUAGAUACCCUGGUAGUCCACGCCGUAAACGAUGUCGACUAGCCGUUGGGAUCCUUGAGAUCUUAGUGGCGCAGCUAACGCGAUAAGUCGACCGCCUGGGGAGUACGGCCGCAAGGUUAAAACUCAAAUGAAUUGACGGGGGCCCGCACAAGCGGUGGAGCAUGUGGUUUAAUUUCGAAGCAACGCGAAGAACCUUACCUGGGCCUUGACAUGCUGAGAACUUUCCAGAGGAUGGGAUUUGGGGCCCUUCAGGGGAAACUCAGACACAGGGCU
Molecule: ribosomal RNA, 1000 nt
Filed under: Pseudomonas aeruginosa
Lineage: Bacteria; Pseudomonadati; Pseudomonadota; Gammaproteobacteria; Pseudomonadales; Pseudomonadaceae
Description: bacterial SSU rRNA
Rfam family: Bacterial small subunit ribosomal RNA
Source: RNAcentral